GCACAUAGCCGAACUAGAGUAUCGCCAUGGAACUGGAAAACGGUCAGAUCCUACGGGAGGCAGCAGGUAGGAUCUCGCAUUGGGCGAAGCUGACCGAGCACGCGCGUGGAGUGAUGAGUCCUCCGAUCGUAAAACUCUGUUAUUAGGAGACAUAUGUGUAAGUACCUGUGCACAUCUGACGGUACUAAUCAGAAAGCCACGGCUAACUACGUUUGCCAGCAGCCGCGGUAAUACGUAGGUGGCAAGCGUUAUCCGGAAAUUAUUGGGCGUAAAGCGCGCGUAGGCGGUUUUAAGUCUGAUGUGAAAGCCCACGGCUCAACCCGUGGAGGGUCAUUGGAAACUGGAAAACUUGAGUGCAGAAGAGGAAAGUGGAAUUCCAUGUGACUCUAGCGGUGAAAUGCGCAGAGAUAUGGAGGAACACCAGUGGCGAAGGCGACUUUCUGGUCUGUAACUGACGCUGAUGUGCGAAAGCGUGGGGAUCAAACAGGAUUAGAUACCCUGGUAGUCCACGCCGUAAACGAUGAGUGCUAAGUGUUAGGGGGUUUCCGCCCCUUAGUGCUGCAGCUAACGCAUUAAGCACUCCGCCUGGGGAGUACGACCGCAAGGUUGAAAAAGGAAUUGACGGGGACCCGCACAAGCGGUGGAGCAUGUGGUUUAAUUCGAAGCAACGCGAAGAACCUUACCAAAUCUUGACAUCCUUUGACAACUCUAGAGAUAGAGCCUUCCCCUUCGGGGGACAAAGUGACAGGUGGUGCAUGGUUGUCGUCAGCUCGUGUCGUGAGAUUUGUGUUGGGUUAAGUCCCGCAACGAGCGCAACCCUUAAGCUUAGUUGCCAUCAUUAAGUUGGGCACUCUAAGUUGACUGCCGGUGACAAACCGGAGGAAGGUGGGGAUGACGUCAAAUCAUCAUGCCCCUUAUGAUUUGGGCUACACACGUGCUACAAUGGACAAUACAAAGGGCAGCGAAACCGCGAGGUCAAGCAAAUCCCAUAAAGUUGUUCUCAGUUCGGAAGUCUGCAACUCGACUACAUGAAGCUGGAAUCGCUAGUAAUCGUAGAUCAGCAUGCUACGGUGAAUACGUUCCCGGGUCUUGUACACACCGCCCGUCACACCACGAGAGUUUGUAACACCCGAAGCCGGUGGAGUAACCUUUUAGGAGCUAGCCGUCGAACGGUUGACCCCAG
This 1183-nucleotide ribosomal RNA is filed under the name Staphylococcus aureus. RNAcentral's name for it is "bacterial SSU rRNA". It matches the Rfam family "Bacterial small subunit ribosomal RNA", at positions 279 to 1471 of the family's 1533-position model. Lineage: Bacteria; Bacillati; Bacillota; Bacilli; Caryophanales; Staphylococcaceae. The record is from RNAcentral.